UGGGGAAUUUUGGACAAUGGGGGAAACCCUGAUCUAGCCAUCCCGCGUGUGCGAUGAAGGCCUUCGGGUUGUAAAGCACUUUUGGCAGGAAAGAAACGUCAUGGGUUAAUACCCCGUGAAACUGACGGUACCUGCAGAAUAAGCACCGGCUAACUACGUGCCAGCAGCCGCGGUAAUACGUAGGGUGCAAGCGUUAAUCGGAAUUACUGGGCGUAAAGCGUGCGCAGGCGGUUCGGAAAGAAAGAUGUGAAAUCCCAGAGCUCAACUUUGGAACUGCAUUUUUAACUACCGGGCUAGAGUGUGUCAGAGGGAGGUGGAAUUCCGCGUGUGGCAGUGAAAUGCGUAGAUAUGCGGGGGAACACCGAUGGCGAAGGCAGCCUCCUGGGAUAACACUGACGCUCAUGCACGAAAGCGUGGGGAGCAAACAGG
RNAcentral lists this ribosomal RNA (429 nucleotides) under Acidobacteriota bacterium. RNAcentral's name for it is "Acidobacteria bacterium partial 16S ribosomal RNA". It matches the Rfam family "Bacterial small subunit ribosomal RNA", at positions 355 to 776 of the family's 1533-position model. The record is from RNAcentral. Lineage: Bacteria; Pseudomonadati; Acidobacteriota.